Aethina tumida (small hive beetle) is the source of this 416-nucleotide long non-coding RNA. RefSeq lists it as uncharacterized. The record is from RefSeq and is a predicted model, not a curated record. The transcript is spliced from 3 exons. NCBI's taxonomy places the organism in Eukaryota, Metazoa, Arthropoda, Insecta, Coleoptera, Nitidulidae.
AUUUGAAUCCAUACGAGUUUUAAGUUAUAUUUUGGCUGUUUCUCUGCAGAUUGCCUUAUUAUAUUGGAAUGCCAAUGCAAUUUUCAUAGAAAGUACUGAAGGUAUAUCAUCCGCCAUAUUUAAUGGAGACUGGUAUUUAUUAAAUGUAAGGUCUCAAAAAGAUUUGCUGAUGAUGAUGAUGAGAACAAAUAUUCCUUCAAGAAUAAGCAUUGGACCUUUUUCUACAGUAACCCUUCGAGCUGCUUUACAAAUAUUAAAAUCUAUUUAUUCAUAUGUAGCAGUCAUUUAUCAAAAAUAGAAGAUGACGAAAAAGUUUUGCACCAGAUAAUGUCUAUCUAAAUACAUAAAUGGACACAUAAAUAACACUAAUGAUUGUAAUAAUAUUAAAUGCAUAAAUAAAGGCAUAUUGUUAAUAA